Molecule: ribosomal RNA, 460 nt
Filed under: uncultured bacterium
Lineage: Bacteria
Description: partial 16S ribosomal RNA
Rfam family: Bacterial small subunit ribosomal RNA
Source: RNAcentral
CCUACGGGUGACAGCAGUGAGGAAUAUUGGUCAAUGGGCGAGAGCCUGAACCAGCCAAGUCGCGUGAAGGAUGACGGCCCUACGGGUUGUAAACUUCUUUUGUCAGGGAGCAAUUGAGUCCACGUGUGGGCUUAGCGAGAGUACCUGAAGAAAAAGCAUCGGCUAACUCCGUGCCAGCAGCCGCGGUAAUACGGAGGAUGCGAGCGUUAUCCGGAUUUAUUGGGUUUAAAGGGUGCGUAGGCGGGGAUGCAAGUUGGGUGUUAAAUCUACCGGCUCAACUGGUAGUCGCACUCAAAACUGCAGCUCUUGAGUGAAGUAGAGGCAGGCGGAAUUCCUAGUGUAGCGGUGAAAUGCGUAGAUAUUAGGAGGAACACCAGUGGCGAAGGCGGCCUGCUGGGCUUUUACUGACGCUGAGGCUCGAAAGUGUGGGGAGCAAGCAGGAUUAGAUACCCUUGUAGUC